CUAGGUUAAAAAUAGGUCUAGGCUUGAAAUUUGUUUUAGACUCAAACUAUGACUUGGCUUAGCCUCAACCAUGGACAAAUAAAUAAUACUUUUUAAAAAUUUUAGGAAUUUUUAUAUUUUCAUAUAUUUUAAAAAAAUAUUUUUUUAAAAUUUUAAAAUUGUUUAAAUUUUCACUUUUUGAUAUUUUUAUUGGAAGUAAAAAAACUUCUAAAAAUAUUUUUUAAUUAUUUAUGUACUUU
RNAcentral lists this long non-coding RNA (239 nucleotides) under Gossypium barbadense (sea-island cotton). RNAcentral's name for it is "long non-coding RNA (GBAR_LNC015491)". The record is from RNAcentral. Lineage: Eukaryota; Viridiplantae; Streptophyta; Magnoliopsida; Malvales; Malvaceae.